GAUGAACGCUGGCGGCGUGCCUAAUACAUGCAAGUCGAGCGAACAGACGAGGCGCUUGCUCCUCUGACGUUAGCCGCGGACGGGUGAAUAACACGUGGAUAACCUACCUAUAAGACUGGUAUAACUUCGGGAAACCGGAGCUAAUACCGGAUAAUAUAUUGCACCGCGUGGUUCGAUAGUAAAAGACGGUUUUUCUGUCACUUAUAGAUGGAUCCGAGCCGCAUUAGCUGGUUGUUAAGGUAAUGGGUUACCACGGCAACGAUGCGUAGACGACCGCAGAGGGGGGUAGGCGACAUGGGAGGGGAGCCACGGUCCAGACUACUACGGGAGGGCGCAGAAGGGUAUCUUACGCAAUGGGCGAGAGUCUGACGGAGCAACGCCACGUGUGAUAUGGAGGUCUCGGGUGCGUAAUACUGGGUUAUGAGGGAAGAACAAAUUUGGAAGUAACUAUGCACGUAGUGACGGUAAUGGAUCAGAAAGCCACGGCUAACUACGUG
RNAcentral lists this ribosomal RNA (497 nucleotides) under uncultured bacterium. Its description in RNAcentral is "partial 16S ribosomal RNA". It matches the Rfam family "Bacterial small subunit ribosomal RNA", at positions 28 to 507 of the family's 1533-position model. The record is from RNAcentral.